Brassica oleracea var. oleracea is the source of this 439-nucleotide long non-coding RNA. RefSeq lists it as uncharacterized. The record is from RefSeq and is a predicted model, not a curated record. Lineage: Eukaryota; Viridiplantae; Streptophyta; Magnoliopsida; Brassicales; Brassicaceae. The transcript is spliced from 4 exons.
CGACGGGUCGUUGAAUAAAGACUCAAUUUUUGCGUUCCUCUCUAGAUUAUAGGCGCCGGGUUAAGUUUGUCGGAGUAAAAUGGCUCAGAACGCUGUUGUCGGCGAGUACUUGGUGGGUCGACAAAUAGGGUCGGCACAUCCAAAGUUCAAUCCUUUCAGCUUAAAGAUCUCCUGGGAAAAUUACAUACAUUUGGUGUUGGAUUAUUGCAAAGGAGGUGGGUGAUCUGUCUGUGUUCCCCUGAAGCUACUGCCAAAGCAUUUCAUGUUACAGUUAGAGAUAGAGAGUGUUAGAGAUUCAAUCUUUGUUGAAAUUAUAGCAAGAAUCAGCUCGUGUGCAGCAACAAUUGCAUUGCAGAACUAGUCCAUGAAAGAAAGGAUAAAAUCAUAGCCAUGAUGGAUCAGAGGAGAUCUCCUGAUUGUUUCAUACGUUCAAUUGUUG